Molecule: ribosomal RNA, 774 nt
Filed under: uncultured marine bacterium
Lineage: Bacteria
Description: bacterial SSU rRNA
Rfam family: Bacterial small subunit ribosomal RNA
Source: RNAcentral
AGUCGAGCGAAGUAGCAAUACUUAGUGGCAGACGGGUGAGGAACAUGUGGGUAUCUUCCCUUUGGUCUGGAAUAACACGAGGAAACUUGUGCUAAUACCGGAUAAGUCUUUACGGAGAAAGCUUUAUGCACCAUUGGAUGAGCCUGCACUUGAUUAGUUUGUUGGUGGGGUAAUGGCCUACCAAGACAAUGAUCAAUAGCUGAUUUGAGAGGAUGAUCAGCCACAUUGGGACUGAGACACGGCCCAAACUCCUACGGGAGGCAGCAGUGGGGAAUCUUGCACAAUGGAGGAAACUCUGAUGCAGCGAUGCCGCGUGAGUGAAGAAGGCCUUUGGGUUGUAAAGCUCUUUCGUCGGGGAAGAAAAUGACUGUACCCGAAUAAGAAGGUCCGGCUAACUUCGUGCCAGCAGCCGCGGUAAUACGAAGGGACCUAGCGUAGUUCGGAAUUACUGGGCUUAAAGAGUUCGUAGGUGGUUAAAAUAGUUGGUGGUGAAAUCCCAGAGCUUAACUCUGGAACUGCCAUCAAAACUUUUUAGCUAGAGUAUGAUAGAGGAAAGCAGAAUUUCUAGUGUAGAGGUGAAAUUCGUAGAUAUUAGAAAGAAUACCAAUUGCGAAGGCAGCUUUCUGGAUCAUUACUGACACUGAGGAACGAAAGCAUGGGUAGCGAAGAGGAUUAGAUACCCUCGUAGUCCAUGCCGUAAACGAUGUGUGUUAGACGUUGGAAAUUUAUUUUCAGUGUCGCAGCGAAAGCAAUAAACACACCGCCUGGGGAGUA